GACUUGCAGAGAAAUGCAGCACCGGAAGAGAAAGGAGGGUGCUCUGAGAGCCUCCCGGAGCCCCGGAGGGGGUUGCUUGCUGCUCAGGGGCGCCCCCAGCCCCUAGCUAGUUCCCAUGGGAUGGCGUUGGGGCCCAGGGGCCAGUCCGGGCGGCAGUGCUUGCCUGGUGGCUACCUCAGGAGCACCUCGAAUGAGAAGUGGCCCCUAGACCCCCUGGGCUAGGUCAGACUGAAGAGGAAAAGCCGGCGCCGAAGGACUCAGAUCGGGAGCUUCCGCAGCCAGCCAGGGUUGCACCGCCUGCUACUCUUAGAACCCUGCCCAGAGGCAGGGUUCUUCCUAGCUUACCUGCAGGAGGGGAUCAAGGCGAGGGGCUCUGCCAGUGCCCUCACUUCAACCCUGUGGGGAUGAGAAGGAUUCUGACACUUGUAUUGCUUCCCUGCUGCCUCUUGGGAGAGGGGGAGGUGAUAAACCGCCUUGGGGACGCCAAAUUGCUAGUUCCCAUCUUUUCCUUAAUGGAAACACAGAAAGCAGGCUGCCUUGCUUCUGGAGGAGAAUUUGUGCCGGCUCCAGUCCUGCACCUUCCUUGAAAGCAGCAGACAGGGUCUGUCUUAUUCUAUGAGAGGGGGAGCCACAUGAUGUGGUCGGCUGCAGUCCUCAAGGGAGGGUGGCUUCCAAACUUUCCUUGGUUUCUAAACCUCAGCUCAAAAUUUAAUCACAGGUAGAGUAGAAACCAGAGCGGAACAACCAGCGAUGGUUCUUUUUGAAAGCACGGGGCGUAGAGACCUUCCAGGAAGGGGCUUCCCUGCAGGGUCCUGUCCGUCCAGGGGCUCGCUGACCCUACAUGAGCCGGGUGCCAUGUCACAAACGUCCUGAGACCUUCCGGUUUGGCCCGAGGAUUCUCGGUCCCCACAUCACGAGAGCUGCUGCUACCAAAGUCACAAUCCAAUUUCCCAUUGCUAAAGCCGCUAGACAGUGACCUCCAAGGCUCCACCUUGGAGUUCCCCCCUCCAAGAGUGACAGGGAUCCUGAGCCAGGCCCCCGGGGGCCAGUAGGAACCAGGAGGCGGCAGGCAGUCCCCACCGACAGGUCCUAGGAAAUUCUGCUCUCGGGGACUAAGCACCUAAGGACUGAGAACUGAAGGGCUUUAGGUGCCUCGAAGAGAAUCGAGAUGGUGGUCCAGACACUCCUAACAGCAUACGUCCCCAUCUUCCAUGCCUGGAAAUGACAGAAAAAUUUAAAAAUCCAUUAUAACCAGGAGAACAUGAAGGGCACCCUUGUGGGCCAGGAAUCCUGGGGGUCGGGGGCUGUUGCUCUGGCUGGAGGGGAGCAACUGCUGGCAGGUGACGGUGGCACAGAGGCAGCAACCGAGGGGUCUAGGGAACCAUCGGGGUGACCCACAGGGGUAUCUGUGGUAAGCCCCACCCCUGGCUGUGCAAAGCAGCAGGCGGUGGACAGAAAAGGAUCCUGUUGGUAACACCUAACAGAACAGGGAGUCUCAUGUCCCCAGAGUGGUCACUGAGGCCCCUGGCAGCCAGCUGGACCCUCCACACAGUCUGGAGACCACUGACUACUGACAAACAGGGACCCUUGCAUAUGAACAGGAAGCAGCACCAGGCACCACACAAGAAGGACUUCACCCGAGGCAGGGCCAGGAUUGCACUUCCACCCUCUUCUCCCAAAUUCCCUAGCAAGUAGGUGUGGCUGUGUGAGCUGAAUGUCAGUGGGUGUGACUGGCACCUCUCCUGUGCCUGGACAAAGCAUUUGGGCCUGGACGGUGACAACCCUAGUGACUCAGGAAUCUGUGUGUUGAGGAUGGCCAGUCACCAUCCUGCAGCCAGGACUCUUGAACAGCUACAGGAGUUGAGACCAUAGUCAAACUGGAGCCCUUGCCAUGUGCUGUACAGAGAGAAGUCCGCUGCCCUGUUGUUGGGGCUGUUCCACCUGAAACAAAGGGUCUGGACGUUGGAGCAAUUUAACUGAACUGUGCUUGGUUGAGUCACUGAUUCCAGUUCUCUCCCCUGCAGUAGAAUUUCACAUCUCCCUCCUUGCCAUGGCCUCCAGGUGGCACAUACUUCUCCACCCUGACUUCGGGCUUGGCAGUGUGACUCCCUUGGGCCAGUGGGUUGUUGGCAGAAGUGAGGUGAGAAGAGGCUCAGCAUAUGCCCACUUGGUCGGCCUCAUCCAUGGGAAGACAGUAUUCCUGGAGGAGUGGGGAGCAGACCACACGCUCAUGGGAAGCCACCCGUCCAAGGAGGGUGAAGGAGCCCCGGAGCAGACCAGAACGUGCCCCACAUCCACUCUCAGAGCAGUGAUGGGAGACCAGGAAUCUGGGGGUGACUUGAAGAGCCUGGGGGCUGCAAUCAUCUGGAAACACUUUAGCUCCCACGCCUGGUGGUUGAUGCCUGUGGACCUCAACUGGGCUCGUGGUAACUACCUGUGGUCUCUCCGCGUGGCCUGGGCUUGCUCACAGUGUGGCGGCCUCAGGCCGUCGGACUCCCUGCAUCACAGCUGGGGGCUCCAGAGGCUGCCAUCCCGAGAGACGCGGAGAGAAGCAGCGAGGCUCUGCUGGAUGAGCCGAGGCUGUGGCCAGAGGCAGCCCUGACUCGAGGGGGCAUCAGAGAACUGUUUUGUCCUUUUCACGGAUCCUGUAUAAAUGGGCCCUACAGCAUGUGACCUUUGGGACCGGCUUCUUUGACU
Camelus dromedarius (Arabian camel) is the source of this 2697-nucleotide long non-coding RNA. RefSeq lists it as uncharacterized. Lineage: Eukaryota; Metazoa; Chordata; Mammalia; Artiodactyla; Camelidae. The transcript has 3 exons. The record is from RefSeq and is a predicted model, not a curated record.